AUAUCUAUUUAAUGACUAGAUUAAGUUUUGAUGUUUUAACAAUAUUGAUGUAUGUUUUUGGUAUUUUUUGACUUACAUUACUAUUGCUUCUUAAUCUGGUUAAUUGCAUAUGCACUAUUCCUUGUUUUAUCUACUGUUUCCAUUUCACGUGCUUUUACACUUGGUAUUGAAUUUCUGUAUUUCAGGAAAUAGGUUCGACAGGAGAUAGUUGCUUCGGUUGAAUGAAUAGGUCGUUAGGAGUUACAUUUUUUUUGUGUCCUUGACUGUCUUGUGUAAUUUUGUCACAGAAUGUCAAAGGGGGAGUUUGUUAGGAAAAUGUUGUAAUUGGCAAUCUGUGACCAAAAGGACUAAUUUGUCGAGUUUGUAAAGUCAAGGACCAAUUUGU
RNAcentral lists this long non-coding RNA (385 nucleotides) under Olea europaea (common olive). Its description in RNAcentral is "long non-coding RNA (OEUR_LNC012142)". The record is from RNAcentral. Lineage: Eukaryota; Viridiplantae; Streptophyta; Magnoliopsida; Lamiales; Oleaceae.